AACGAACGCUGGCGGCAUGCCUAACACAUGCAAGUCGAACGGGAUCCUGGCUUCGGCCAGGUGAGAGUGGCGGACGGGUGAGUAACGCGUGGGAACCUGCCCAUUGGUCUGGGAUAACUGCGGGAAACUGCAGCUAAUACCGGAUGUACCCGAGAGGGGAAAGAUUUAUCGCCGAUGGAGGGGCCCGCGUCAGAUUAGGUAGUUGGUGAGGUAACGGCUCACCAAGCCUACGAUCUGUAGCUGGUCUGAGAGGAUGAUCAGCCACACUGGGACUGAGAUACGGCCCAGACUCCUACGGGAGGCAGCAGUGGGGAAUAUUGGACAAUGGGGGCGAACCCGUACGAUCCACGCAAUAGCCGCGUGAGUGAUGAAGGACCGUUAGGGUUGGUUAAAGACGUCUUUUGUUCC
RNAcentral lists this ribosomal RNA (408 nucleotides) under uncultured bacterium. Its description in RNAcentral is "bacterial SSU rRNA". It matches the Rfam family "Bacterial small subunit ribosomal RNA", at positions 29 to 442 of the family's 1533-position model. The record is from RNAcentral.